CUGACUUCCUCUAGAGUGGUCACCAAGGUGAAAUGUUGGUGCCAAAUGAACUUUUCUGGUUCUUCUGAAUAUGCCACUGUUGCUGGAGAAAUGUCACUGCUAGAGAACAGAAGACUAUUAUUCCAAAGGGUAUUUGAGACUGACUGAAUCAGGUCUGGAACAUUAUUGAAAUGGUGGUGACCAGAUGGAUAUAAACGGGCUGUGGAAAAAGAGAAUGCAUGGCCAAAAAUGGUGGUGCUCUCUGUCCAAAAACUGAGGCCCUAUGACCAUGAAUGAAGCCAGAGGGCAGGUAGGAAUAGAUCAUUUGCUCCAGAAGAAGCUGGUUGCCAUGUCUUGAGGACAGUAAACCCUCUGGGGAGGUUCCUGUGGUAAGGAACAAGGGCUCCUGGCAAUAGCCUCUGAGUGAGCCACCUUGAAAAUGGAUUGUCCAGCCCCAGUCAAGCUUUCAGAUGACUGUAGCUCCUGCCAAUGUCUUCACCACAACCUCAUGAGAUCCCAAGCUACAACCACUCAGAACUUCAUCUUUUGGGAAGCACCAGGGAGAGCUGCCUGUGCCUGGCAGAAGCUGCCCAUGCCCCACUGAUACCCCACAGUACUUCCUGUUCUGCUUAGUACUCCUGCUUCUUUCUACAAACAACUGUGAUUCUCUACCUGGGAGCUUCCUCUGGCCACAGGAGCCUGCUCACCUGAUUGGGACACCCUAGCAGUACUGGCUCAUAGAUGGAAGGGACUUGCCUUGUCGCUGAUGAGACUUUCGACUUGGACUUUUGAGUCAAUGCUGGAAUGAGUUAAGACUUUGGGGAACUGUUGGAAGGGUGUGAUUGUGUUUUGAAUUGUGAGGACAUGAGAUUUUGAAGAGGCUAAUGGCAGCGUCCCCACCUAAAUCUCUUCUUGAAUUGUAGUUCCCAUAAUCCCCACGUGUCGUGGGGUGGAGCCGGUGGAGAUAAUUGAAUCAUGGGAACACUUUCCCCCAUGCUGUUAUUGUGAUUGUGAAUUCUCACGAGAUCUGAUGGUUGUAUAAACGCCUUCCCUCUUCGCUGGGCACUCAUUUUUCUCCUUCCUGCCACCAUGUGAAGAAGGAUAUGCUUGCUUCUUGUGCCAUGAUUACAAGAACACACUCAGAAAUUUUCUCAACACAGUUUCUAUGCAGAGAAGAGAUGUGGGACAGAUUUGAACUGCUGUCAUAUUUGUAUGAACCCAAGACAUUUUCCAAGACCAAGAGGGAUAAAGACAGCAAUUUCUAUGACUGGCAUUUUACGUGCAUGCACUGUUUCCAAGUGUUCUUGUGUUCUGUGCCUUAAACAUUCUGUGUUGCAACUUUAUGAAUUGAAUUAAAGAUAAUCCCAAGCCCCCAAUUGUCUCAAAAAGUGAAAAAGUAAAUGUUAUAGAAAGAAAAGCGGGAAAAACUUUAAGCAUGAAAUAAAAGAUGGGUUGUGAUAAAAGAGGACUGAAGAAGGAAAAGGAAUGAAAGGUUCUGCCAUCCUUCAUGGCAGCCCACUCCACUUGGUAUGAGAUACUGCUCCCUUGGCUGAAAGUUAACUGCUGUACUCCCUCCACUUUCUAUAAAUGACUCCCUGUGCCUUUCCUUCACCACACAACUCACACUCUCUUCCUUCCUAGUGAGUCCACUAAGGCUUCACUGCAUUAUUACAUUUAUUUCAUUUAGGAAAAACUGACUUUAUUUUCCUUCAAAUUGUUUUUUAUUGUUUAUAUGAGCUUGGUUUUAUUGUCAUUCUAUUUUUCUCCAUGAAAAUAGAGAAAAAUAGGGUCGAAAGGUUAGGUUGGGUGGAAAGGAAUUAUAUUUUUUCUCACUAAAAUUGAUGUAAAUAUCGUUUUCAAUUGAAUGAUUUUACACAGUGGCACAGUUUCAGGUAUGUUGCUAAGCAGGAAAGUUGUUAACCAAAGCAUGAAUGUAUUAAGGAGAUGUAUGCAGAAUGACAUGCAAGGUUAUCUAUGAUUGCUGAGUGAGAAAGAGCAAGUUGCUGAGUAUUAUAUAAGUAUGAUCUCACUUUUGUAAAAAAAAAAAAAAAAAAAGGCCUGGACUGAUCUGAAAUGACCCUAUUAAUAACAAUUAUGUCCAGGUCUGUAUUGCAUACUUGUCAUUCAUUACAGGAUCUUGAGACACAAUGCAAAGGAUCACAUCGCAGCUCUGUAACUUGUUAACUAUAAGAUUUUGAGUAACAUAACACCUUACUCCUUAAAAUUGCUUAAAAAAAAUCUGAACAUCAGGAAUAUUCUACUUCACAGGGUCGUUGUGAUAAUUAAAUGUAGUAAUCAAUGACAAUAGUGCCAGAUACAGUAGAUAGCCUACACUUUGCAGCUACUAUUUCUAUCUAUCAUCCAUCUAUUAAUAUAUAUCAUCUAUCUUUAACUUAUCAUCUAUCUUGUUCCAGUUUUUUAAAAUGAACAUGUAUUAACUUUGUAAAAAAUUAAGGCUAUAAGAUGUGCUGAGCUUUUGGAAUAGAUUUUCCUGUACUAUAUAUGACUGCCAGUGGGAGAAUUUGAAUAAAUGUGUAAAUUUGACUAAAUCUGAAUAAAUGUUCAUUUGACGGGACCAUAGAUUUGGGGGUCUAGCACUAGCUCUGUUUCUACACUCCUGCUGCUGCCUGAUAGAGAUGCCUCUCUUGUUUUGGACUCCAAGGUAAAGUAAGCCUUUUCAUUUUGUGCAUCAUAAUUUAAAAUGACAAAUGGAAUCUAUUUUUUUCUCCAUCUAACGCAUAUAUAGCUACCAUUUAUUAAUUCUUGUUUCCUUCUUAUGUUGCUCUUUGUUGUCAUUUUUAAGGGAAGAAGAGACUGGGUCACGGGAAUGCUUUAAUGUGGAAACCCUGAAUUCGUUCCACACAUCUGCCUUCUGGGGACACAGGUAAAUGAGGCCGAGUAGUGAAGUGGGAAGUUCCUGAAAAUGUGACAGCAAGCCUCUGUCCACUGCCAGACCGAAGACAGGGAGGCGCUCAUCGGCAAAUUAAUGGAUGUUAAAGGGAAGCAAAAUAACACCAAGAUAGACUCAUGAAUU
RNAcentral lists this long non-coding RNA (3013 nucleotides) under Homo sapiens (human). Its description in RNAcentral is "HSALNT0114826". The record is from RNAcentral. Lineage: Eukaryota; Metazoa; Chordata; Mammalia; Primates; Hominidae.